ACUAAAAACAAAGAUGAUUGAAUCACCUAUUCCAAGCACUGGCCACUGCCCAAGAUAGUUUAGCAAUCAAAAUAUAGAUGUUGCAUCACUCAUAUCAAGCACUAUAUGCCACCAAAGUUGCUAAUCAGGUUAGCAAAUCAGAAGCAACUCCCGAUUACGGCGGCCAACCAAUCGCACCAGCUUUGAUGCAUCUUCAUCGCCAUUCGGGAUUCGGCAAUUUGCCACUAAGUUAUUGAAGUCUUGAAGCAAAGGUACUCAGCUUGAGCUUCCUAGCUCUCAUUGGAUUUGUUUUUUAAGCCUAUUGCACACCAUCAAGGUCCAUCACCAACUACCAUUGUUCAGUUGAAAGAGCCUUCUCAGUGACAAACAUCAUCAAAACCGAGUUGUGGAAUAAGAUGAGAGAUGAAUGGUUGAAUGAUAUGAUGGUAUGCUAUAGUGAAUGUCAAGUGUUUGAAACAAUUGAUGAUAAAGAUAUUUCAAAGUAUGCAAAGCUGAAGGAUUCAACUUCCACCUCGUAGCGGUUGUUGUUAGCAGGGAUAGUAGAACAGCGGAGUAAAAGGGUGAAAUGCUUGGCAGAGUUUAUUUUGUGAUUUUCUUAAGAUGUGUAUGAUACCUAAAGCAUUUUGGCAUGUAUUAGAAGGAUCCACUACGAUGUUAUACCUUCAUAUUUUGUUUUACUUCUCUUGAAUAUUCCUAAUUGUGUCAGUCAGGAAUAUGUGAUGUAUGAGAGUUAUACCCAGUG
Dioscorea cayenensis subsp. rotundata (Guinea yam) is the source of this 742-nucleotide long non-coding RNA. RefSeq lists it as uncharacterized. The record is from RefSeq and is a predicted model, not a curated record. NCBI's taxonomy places the organism in Eukaryota, Viridiplantae, Streptophyta, Magnoliopsida, Dioscoreales, Dioscoreaceae. The transcript is spliced from 5 exons.